CAGUUAGUGAGGCUGAACACAGGUCAGUCAGUGAGGCUGAACACAGGUCAGUUAGUGAGGCUGAACACAGGUCAGUUAGUGAGGCUGAACACAGGUCAGUCAGUGAGGCUGAACACAGGUCAGUGAGUGAGGCUGAACACAG
Long non-coding RNA from Oncorhynchus keta (chum salmon), 142 nucleotides. RefSeq lists it as uncharacterized. The record is from RefSeq and is a predicted model, not a curated record. The transcript has 3 exons. NCBI's taxonomy places the organism in Eukaryota, Metazoa, Chordata, Actinopteri, Salmoniformes, Salmonidae.